AUAUGCUUGUCAAAUACCUGCGAAUAGCUUCACUGGAAAUCCAUAAUCGUUCCACUCCGAAAUCAGCAAUUUUAUCAACCAUAUAUUAAAAUGAAACACAAAGUGUAAUUUAUUCUUUUUUUUUAUUAAUGACAAGUAACGAAAAGACUAGAAAGUGACCCGCACUUAACAAUAAGAAACUAAUCCUCCUUCCCUCUAUGAAACAUGCAGUACGAAAUCUUACAAAUAUCAAAUUUACAUUAUUGUCCCUACAAGUAAAUAAUAUCAACUAUCAUGACUUAUCUUUUUUACAUUUUUAAAUUGUCUUUUAAUUUACAGUAAUGAGUUAUUUUUAAGUUUGACGAGGCCUAGUGUAUUGAACAAUAGAUAAUCCAGGAAAAAAUGUGUCUUAAUGGUUAUAGAGUACUGUUUUUAUUUAGAGUGAAUUAACCAGGCCUGCAAAUAUUUUGCUUGGAAGGACAAAUGUCUGGCCAAGACAAAACAUUGGUCGGACAUUUACUAUCAGCUUUUCUCGGACAAUGGACAAAGUUAAAUUUUUCAUAUUUUUUUUUUUUAAUUACCACGAUUGUGUUAAUCUUCACUGCAAUGCAUCUAAAACUGAGUGUACAUCAACUAGUCCUAAUCCAUCAGUAGAUUAUGAUUCAGAUUACACAUAACUUUAAUUUCUACUAUGACAUACGCAGAAAAAUGUGUUCAAAACCAUUUUUCUGAGAUUCGACAAUUGACCAGCCUAAAUUUGCAAUUGUUGGUCACAUGCCCAGUCAUAAAAAGCUUUGAUCAGACACUAAGUAAAAUUUGGCCAGACAAUUGUCCAACGACCAGCACUAAUUUACAGGCCUGGUAAAUAGAUCACCAACGUACGUUACGAGAUUCAAGGCUUCAGAGUCUAAGUCAUAAUUACAAAAUAAGACCGUACAGGCAUUAAGCCAAAAUGAUGUACGCGCUCUGAAAGGGUGCAUUCGUUGUCAGGUUAUGUCGAAAAUACCAUCCCUUUAGUUGUACAUUUAGAGGCUGUUCACACUAGCAUUAAACCUGAGUUGGACGGAAGGAAGAAAAAGCCCUGGUUCCGGAUUUUUACCUGACUGGUCUAUCACACCAAAAAUUGUAAUCUGCCUUUUUGAUUGGUUAGUGCUAAUGGACCUUUCACCUUUUGACUACAAUUUAGAUUUCAACAAGUCUAGACAAAAAUUUUAUCACAGCUUGAAAGAGCAUCACAAAAUUAGUAAUAUUCCGAAGUUUCGUUGCGAAAUGUUGUAAAAUGCGGAUAUUAUAGCCUUGCGAAGUUUGCAAUUUUCAGUCAUUUUGUAUUACAAACGGGAAAUACAUACCCUUUUUCCGAAGGAGGUAUGUAUUUCCCACGCGUAAUACAAAAUGACUGAAAAUGGCAAAC
Molecule: non-coding RNA, 1390 nt
Organism: Paramuricea clavata
Lineage: Eukaryota; Metazoa; Cnidaria; Anthozoa; Malacalcyonacea; Plexauridae
Source: the annotation of a GenBank genome assembly